UACGUAGGUGGCUAUUCAAGUUAGUGGUGAAAUUCCGGGGCUCAACUCCGGCGCUACCACUAAGACUGUUUAGCUUGAGUGCAGGAGGGGUAAGUGGAAUUCCUAGUGUAGCGGUGGAAUGCGUAGAUAUUAGGAGGAACACCAGUGGCGAAGGCGACUUACUGGACUGUAACUGACGCUGAGGCGCGAAAGUGUGGGGAGCAAACA
This 207-nucleotide ribosomal RNA is filed under the name uncultured bacterium. Its description in RNAcentral is "partial 16S ribosomal RNA". It matches the Rfam family "Bacterial small subunit ribosomal RNA", at positions 568 to 774 of the family's 1533-position model. The record is from RNAcentral.